Molecule: ribosomal RNA, 459 nt
Filed under: uncultured bacterium
Lineage: Bacteria
Description: partial 16S ribosomal RNA
Rfam family: Bacterial small subunit ribosomal RNA
Source: RNAcentral
CCUACGGGAGGCAGCAGUGAGGAAUAUUGGUCAAUGGCCGAGAGGCUGAACCAGCCAAGUCGCGUGAGGGAAGACGGCCCUACGGGUUGUAAACCUCUUUUGUCGGGGAACAAAGGCGGGGACGUGUCCCCGGAUGAGUGUACCUGAAGAAAAAGCAUCGGCUAACUCCGUGCCAGCAGCCGCGGUAAUACGGAGGAUGCGAGCGUUAUCCGGAUUUAUUGGGGUUAAAGGGUGCGCAGGCGGUCUGUUAAGUCAGCGGUAAAAGCCCGGGGCUCAACCCCGGCCCGCCGUUGAAACUGGCAGUCUCGAGUUGGAGAGAAGUAUGCGGAAUGCGCGGUGUAGCGGUGAAAUGCAGAGAUAUCGCGCAGAACUCCGAUUGCGAAGGCAGCAUGCCGGCUCCACACUGACGCUGAGGCACGAAAGCGUGGGUAUCGAACAGGAUUAGAUACCCCUGUAGUC